Molecule: ribosomal RNA, 1321 nt
Filed under: metagenome
Description: bacterial LSU rRNA
Rfam family: Bacterial large subunit ribosomal RNA
Source: RNAcentral
AGUGGAUGGGGAGCAACCUAGUUGUGCGUGUGUAAAGGUAGUGCCAAGAAAAGCGAUGAUCAUGUUGAAAAUCAAUUCCCGGUACCCGAAACCGACACAGGUGGGCAAGUAGAGAAUACUAAGGGGCGCGAGGUAACUCUCUCCAAGGAACUCGGCAAAAUGACCCCGUAACUUAGGGAGAAGGGGUGCCACCGAGAGGUGGUCGCAGUGAAGAGGCCCAGGCGACUGUUUAGCAAAAACAUAGGUCUCUGCAAACUCGAAAGAGGAGGUAUAGGGGCUGACGCCUGCCCAGUGCCGGAAGGUUAAAGAAGUUGGUCAGUUUUAGGAUGAAGCUAGCGACUGAAGCCCCGGUGAACGGCGGCCGUAACUAUAACGGUCCUAAGGUAGCGAAAUUCCUUGUCGGGUAAGUUCCGACCCGCACGAAAGGCGUAACGAUCUGGGCGCUGUCUCGGAGAGAGGCUCGGCGAAAUAGGAUUGUCUGUGAAGAUACGGACUACCUGCAUUUGGACAGAAAGACCCUAUGAAGCUUUACUAUAGCUUGGAAUUGUGUUCGGGCUUCCUGUGCGCAGGAUAGGUGGGAGGCGUAGAAGGUAUUCUUGUGGGGAUACUGGAGCCAACGGUGAGAUACCACUCUCAGGAGGCUAGAAUUCUAACUUAAUUAAGGACAGUUUCAGGUGGGUAGUUUGACUGGGGCGGUCGCCUCCAAAAAGGUAACGGAGGCGUACAAAGGUUCCCUCAGACUGGUUGGAAAUCAGUCGAAGAGUGCAAAGGCAGAAGGGAGCUUGACUGCGAGAAGUACAGUUCGAGCAGGGUGGAAACACGGUCUUAGUGAUCCGACGGUGCUGUGUGGAAGGGCCGUCGUUCAACGGAUAAAAGUUACUCUAGGAUAACAGGCUGAUCUCCCCCAAGAGUUCACAUCGACGGGGAGGUUUGGCACCUCGAUGUCGGCUCAUCGCAACCUGGGGCGGAAGUACGUCCCAAGGGUUGGGCUGUUCGCCCAUUAAAGCGGUACGUGAGCUGGGUUCAGAACGUCGUGAGACAGUUCGGUCCAUAUCCGAUGUAGGCGUGAGAAUAUUGAGAGGAGCCUUCCUUAGUACGAGAGGACCGGGAAGGACGCACCGCUGGUGUACCUGUUAUGAUGCCAAUUGUAAACGCAGGGUAGCCAAGUGCGGAGAGGAUAACCGCUGAAAGCAUCUAAGUGGGAAGCCCACCUCAAGAUGAGUAUUCUGGUGUAAGGUCACGGGAAGACGACCCGUAAAUAGGCACGAGGUGGAAGUGCAGAGAUGUAUGAAGCCGAAGUGUACUAAUAGACCGUCGGCUU